AUACUCCGGUUUCUCUUCAAAUCGUAUAAAUCUUUCGCCUUUUACUAAAGAUUUCCGUGGAGAGAAACAAAUACGAGUGUUGUCGAAAUUUUUUAAGGCUCCAUUUUGGUGGAGCU
Small nuclear RNA from Falco tinnunculus (common kestrel), 116 nucleotides. Its record names the gene U5. It matches the Rfam family "U5 spliceosomal RNA". Rfam says of the family: U5 RNA is a component of both types of known spliceosome. The precise function of this molecule is unknown, though it is known that the 5' loop is required for splice site selection and p220 binding, and that both the 3' stem-loop and the Sm site are important for Sm protein binding and cap methylation. The record is from Ensembl. NCBI's taxonomy places the organism in Eukaryota, Metazoa, Chordata, Aves, Falconiformes, Falconidae.